GGAGGAAUAUUGCACAACGGGGGGAACCCAGGUGCAGCAACGCCGCGUGAGUGAAGAAGGCCUUCGGGUUGUAAAACUCUUUUCUGUGGGAUGAGGAAGGACAGUACCACAGGAACAAGUCUCGGCUAACUACGUGCCAGCAGCCGCGGUAAGACGUAGGAGGCGAGCGUUAUCCGGAUUUACUGGGCGUAAAGGGCGAGUAGGCGGUAAAGCAAGUCAGUUGUGACAGAUCCCGGCUCAACUGGGAGAGGACGGCUGAGACUGUUGAACUAGAGGGCAGGAGAGGGGAGCGGAAUUCCUUGUGUAGCGGUGGAAUGCUCAGAUACAAGGAAGAACACCAGUGGCGAAGGCGGCUCUCUGGCCUGAACCUGACGCUGAAGAGCGAAAGCUAGGGGAGCGAACG
This 403-nucleotide ribosomal RNA is filed under the name uncultured prokaryote. RNAcentral's name for it is "bacterial SSU rRNA". It matches the Rfam family "Bacterial small subunit ribosomal RNA", at positions 355 to 774 of the family's 1533-position model. The record is from RNAcentral.